This is an RNA transcript of Spinacia oleracea (spinach), 1987 nucleotides long. RefSeq lists it as uncharacterized. The record is from RefSeq and is a predicted model, not a curated record. The transcript has 3 exons. Lineage: Eukaryota; Viridiplantae; Streptophyta; Magnoliopsida; Caryophyllales; Amaranthaceae.
CAUUUGGGUCGGGGGUUGAUUGCUUUCCUUUCUUUCCCUUACAUAUCACCUUCCUCACCUCCAUACUCCCAUUGUCCCACAGUCCGAGUUGGGAGAAUGCUCAAACUUCGCAGCAACUUCAAUGGUUUCCAAAGGUUCAACGUCGUCCAUGGUUUCCGUCAUCUUCUACUCUAUUCAACUUCAUCCUCAAUUUCAGUCGAAGGAAACCCUGAAUUCGUGAAUUACUUGGUGGAGUCUCUAGGUUUGCCCACUCAACACGCUCUCUCUACUUCCACUAAGCUCGCCCGCGUUCGUCAACUUCGAGGUGCGAAGAAUUUUAGUGAUUUUAAUUUCGUUGAUAAUGCUGAUUCCGUUGUUAAAUAUCUCAAAAAAAUUGGACUGGAACAUUCUCAUAUUCGAAAGGCCGUUGUUUCUGUACCCCAAAUUUUAUUGUGUAAUGUUAACAGAACCCUAAUUCCCAAGACCCAAGCUAUUGAGAAAUUGGGUAUUUCUGGGUCUGAUUUUGCUGAGGUUGUCAGUGUAAAUCCUUCAAUAUUUGUUACGACCUCAAAUACCAAUAUUGUUUCUGCAAUCAAAGCUUUGAGGGAGGUUACGGGUUCUGAUCUCCAUGUGAUUGCCAUUUUGAAGAAAUUAGUCGACAAAAGGUUUGUUGGAAAUUCCAAAUAUUUGGUGGCAAAUGUAGCGUUGUUGCGAAAUUAUGGGAUCCCCGAUGAAUCAAUUCGGAAAUACCUACUUAGGUUACCAUCCGCUCUUGUCCGGGAAACUGAAUAUUUAGAAGAUGCAAUGAUUAGGGUUGAAGAGAAGUUGGGGAUUUCCCGAAACUCUCCACAGUUCUUGCUUGGGCUUCAUUUGCUAUCCUCUCAUAACGAGAAGGCUAUCCAGUCGAAAAGGGAAACGUAUAUGAGUUUCGGUUGGACUGAAUCUGAUGUUGCAGCUCUUUUUAGAAAAAAUCCUCCCUGUUUUGGGCUGUCUAUCGCUACAAUUAAAAAGAAGUUAGGUUUUCUCAUGAAUGAACUGGGUUACGAGCCUAAUGUCUUAAUAUUGCAGUCUUGCCUUUUAACUUAUAGCUUGGAGAAGAGAACAAUGCUAAGACAUAAGGUACUAUUGGUCUUGAAGGAGAAAGGUUUUAUAAAGAUGGAUUACCGUCUCUCUAGUGUACUAAGCUGUAACGAGGCUCGGUUCUUGGAGAGGUUCGUUCUACCGUUCAAGGAAGUCCAUCAAAUUUACUCUAAACAUACAGGUCUUAGUUUGGAGGCGUUAACUCAGAGAUCGUUGGAAAAAAUUUCAAAUCCUGUUUGAUGAAAGUUCCUUGUCUGGUUAUGCAGUGCAAUACUGUGGUGUACUGGGUUUCAGCAGACUGGCAAAGUUAUUGAUCUUGGAUCUGAAUAAUAGUUACAUUAUGGAGAUUAAGGGAAACCUCGAACUAUUUCAAGAUCUGUAAAACAUCAGAAAAGAACAAACUGUCACAGUUUAUGCUCUUAUUAUCUUUGUUGGACUUUGGCCUUUCUGAAAGCAAGAUGAACGGAUGAAGCAUACAGUUUUGGAGAUAUUGGUAAAGCAAUGUGUCUUUGAGCUCUGGAUAUUGGUAGGAGGUGAAUGGCAUACAGUUAUGUGAAUGUGAAUACUUCACCAAGUUAUUUAAGUGUUCUGCGGUAGAUUACAAAAUUCUGGCUGUAAGUUAUUGUUUAGUAUGCUUUUGUAACCACAACCACUGAACCACCGAACAAAUGACAGACCUUUAUAAUUCUGUUGCCAUGGCAAUUUCUACUUUAUGACCUCCGAAUCUUCAUGUGUUGCACUGUGGAUCAUUUACUUUCUGCUGUCGUAGUUUGCCAUGUUAAUGGAUAAAAUUCUUUUGGGUGGUUUUAGUUUUGUUCAGUCGCAGGGUUUGCAGUCAUCAUCUAUGAUACUUGGUAUGUGUAAGACCUAACAGUUAGUUAUUCAAAGAAACUUAAUAAGAGUAAUUACGCCUCCGCUUUUUGAUAGU